This is a small nuclear RNA of Hibiscus syriacus, 162 nucleotides long. RefSeq annotates it as U1 spliceosomal RNA. The transcript has a single exon. Lineage: Eukaryota; Viridiplantae; Streptophyta; Magnoliopsida; Malvales; Malvaceae. The record is from RefSeq and is a predicted model, not a curated record.
AUACUUACCUGGACAGGGUCAGUGGGCGAUCAAUAAAUCCCAUGGCCUAAGUUAGCGACAUCCAUUGCAUUUAGGAGGGCCGCUCGUCUAACGUCUCCUCAAUGUGGGAGAGCCUACGUCAUAAUUUGUGGCUGUGGAGGCUUGCGUCCGCGCGGCCCCUUU